UACGUAGGUGGCAAGCGUUAUCCGGAUUUACUGGGUGUAAAGGGCGUGCAGCCGGGCUGACAAGUCAGAUGUGAAAUCCCGCGGCUCAACCGCGGAACUGCAUUUGAAACUGUCAGUCUUGAGUACCGGAGAGGUCAUCGGAAUUCCUUGUGUAGCGGUGAAAUGCGUAGAUAUACGGAGGAACACCAGUGGCGAAGGCGGAUUGCUGGACAGUAACUGACGCUGAGGCGCGAAAGCGUGGGGAGCAAAAAGG
RNAcentral lists this ribosomal RNA (253 nucleotides) under uncultured Oscillospira sp. Its description in RNAcentral is "partial 16S ribosomal RNA". It matches the Rfam family "Bacterial small subunit ribosomal RNA", at positions 524 to 776 of the family's 1533-position model. Lineage: Bacteria; Bacillati; Bacillota; Clostridia; Eubacteriales; Oscillospiraceae. The record is from RNAcentral.